RNAcentral lists this ribosomal RNA (374 nucleotides) under uncultured bacterium. Its description in RNAcentral is "bacterial SSU rRNA". It matches the Rfam family "Bacterial small subunit ribosomal RNA", at positions 1 to 334 of the family's 1533-position model. The record is from RNAcentral.
CUAUGCGCCUUGCCAGCCCGCUCAGUCAGAGUUUGAUCCUGGCUCAGGAUGAACGCUGGCGGCGUGCUUAACACAUGCAAGUCGAACGGAGGAUACCCGCCGGAGAGGUUUCGGCCAAACCAUGGGGAUCCUUAGUGGCGGACGGGUGAGUAACGCGUGGGCAACCUGCCCCGUACCGGGGGGAUAACACCUGGAAACAGGUGCUAAUACCGCAUAAGCGCACACUGCUGCAUGGCAGAGUGUGAAAAACUCCGGUGGUACGGGAUGGGCCCGCGUCUGAUUAGCUAGUUGGCGGGGCAGCGGCCCACCAAGGCGACGAUCAGUAGCCGGCCUGAGAGGGUGAACGGCCACAUUGGGACUGAGACACGGCCCAG